Molecule: non-coding RNA, 433 nt
Organism: Oryza sativa Japonica Group (Japanese rice)
Lineage: Eukaryota; Viridiplantae; Streptophyta; Magnoliopsida; Poales; Poaceae
Source: RefSeq, a predicted model, not a curated record
UUUAGGAUUUUCUUCAACUCCAAUUUUGACAUAUUAGGAGGAGGAGCAUCUGAAGGCUGUAAAACAAAAUUAGCAGGAAGUUGGUAUCUCCGGUGGCGGUGGUUGCAGGAAACAAGAACACAGUGAGGCGACGUGCACUAGUGGCAAGCUACUCUGCAGCAGCCACAGAUAUUGAUACAAGCAUGCAUAGAUGUACUGAAGAGGAAUAUUGUUUUGCUGCACCAAUUGUAUGUUUUAGUUUGACAGAAAGGAAACCUGCACUGGAAAAGAAUAUCCUGUUUUGUAUAUUUAAUGUUAUGAUUCAGUUCAACAAAAUUCUUUUUUCUUUCUGAUUACCCUGUGUGAAAGAAAAAAAAAGACUCAUUCCAGUGAAUACUACAAAGGAAAUCUAUAAGUUCAGUUAUACUAAGAAUGUUGUGUGUUCUAGGAGUCA